AGGUAAACGGGUGGAGCUGAACCGGACGCACAGGAUUUGGUUUAUUGCGCGGUGAAUCGGGUCAAUGCGGCAUCCCUUGGAGGAGUUGUACGAUUCGAUAGUGACCACGUGGAUGGCCUGUUGUUCUGUGCGUCUGCACUGCGACCGAUAGUCGGUUGGCACUGGCAGUUGGGAAGGUGAGGCAUCCGAUUUCGGUCGGCGGCCAGUUACAGCCCGCUGUAUCAUGUGUCGUUACCGAGACUAUCGGAGAUGGCGCCGUUCAUCACGGGACAGUGUCGCAUUGCCGAGUGACGAUUGGCGUUUAGCUGCUUGCAGCGCGUCGGUCGCUUUGCUUGUAGUGCGGCGCUGUCUCUGGACGGGCCACAGUCUGCAGUGAAAACGUAGGUUAUCCACCCGACCCGUCUUGAAACACGGACCGAGAAGUGCAGCGUAUGCGCGAGUCAAAGGGCCUAAGAAACCCCACGGCGCAAUGAAAGUAAAAUGCGGCCUUGUGCUGUAUUUGAAGAUGGGAUCCUGGAGGCUAACUACCGAAAGGCGCACCAUCGGCCCGUGACAAACCUUACGAGGGUGUUGCGGAGCUAGAGCGUAUACGCUGUGACCCGAAAGAUGGUGACCUAUGCAUGCGGAGGUUGAAGCCAGAGGAAACUCUGGUGGAAGACCGAAGCGCUUCUGACGUGCAAAUCGAUCGUGAGACGUGUGUAUAGGGGCGAAAGACUAAUCGAACCAUCUAGUAGCUGGUUCCCGUCGAAGUUUCCUUCAGGAUAGCUUGUGUUUGCAUAGAAGUGUCAUAUCCGGUAAAGCUAAUGAUUAGAGGUACUGGGAGAUUAAAUCUCUCAACCUAUUCUCAAACUUUAAAUGGGUAUGAUGCCGAAACUAUGUAAUUUGGACGUCUUCGGGCGGCCAAAAAGCUUCGGCUUUGAAUCAGAACACAAAGUGGGCCAUUUUUGGUAAGCAGAACUGGUGCUGUGGGAUGAACCAAACGUGCAGCUAAAGUGUCAAACUAUCGCUCAUCGGAUACCACUAAAGGUGUUGGUUGAUUAUGACAGCAGGACAGUGGCCAUGGAAGUUGGAAUCUGCUAAGAAGUGUGUAACAACUUACCUGCCGAAUUAACCAGCCCUGAAAAUGGAUGACGCUGUAGCGAUAGACUUAUGCUGCACCGGCACUGCACAAACGGGGUCGCUUGCGGCUCCUAGUAGGCAGUGCCGAGUAGACGGGCGCCAUGGUUGUUACGAAGCUUACGACGCAAGUCGGAGUGGAGCAGCCAUGG
Molecule: ribosomal RNA, 1268 nt
Filed under: Protomonotresis centrophora
Lineage: Eukaryota; Metazoa; Platyhelminthes; Prolecithophora; Pseudostomidae
Description: eukaryotic LSU rRNA
Rfam family: Eukaryotic large subunit ribosomal RNA
Source: RNAcentral